UACGUAGGGGGCUAGCGUUGUCCGGAAUCAUGGGGCGUAAAGAGCGUGUAGGCGGCCCGGUAAGUCCGCUGUAAAAGUCAAAGGCUCAACCUUUGAAUGUCAGUGGAUACUGCCGGGCUAGAGUCCGGAAGAGGCGAGUGGAACUCCUGGUGUAGCGGUGGAAUGCGCAGAUAUCAGGAAGAACACCAACGGCGAAGGCAGCUCGCUAGGACGGUACUGACGCUGAGACGCGAAAGCGUGGGGAGCGAACAGG
This 253-nucleotide ribosomal RNA is filed under the name uncultured bacterium. Its description in RNAcentral is "partial 16S ribosomal RNA". It matches the Rfam family "Bacterial small subunit ribosomal RNA", at positions 524 to 776 of the family's 1533-position model. The record is from RNAcentral.